This 452-nucleotide ribosomal RNA is filed under the name uncultured bacterium. Its description in RNAcentral is "bacterial SSU rRNA". It matches the Rfam family "Bacterial small subunit ribosomal RNA", at positions 354 to 796 of the family's 1533-position model. The record is from RNAcentral.
GUCGAGAGGCUUCGGCAAUGGGGGAAACCCUGACCGAGCGACGCCGCGUGUGCGAUGAAGGCCUUCGGGUUGUAAAGCACUGUCGUGUGGGGAGAAAGGUCUGCCGGCAAACAGUCGGCGGACUCUGACGGUACCACAGAAGGAAGCUCCGGCUAACUCCGUGCCAGCAGCCGCGGUAAUACGGGGGGAGCGAACGUUGUUCGGAAUUACUGGGCGUAAAGGGCGCGUAGGCGGCCUUGUAAGUGGGAUGUGAAAGCUCCUGGCUCAACCAGGGAACUGCGUCCCAUACUGCAAGGCUUGAGUGCAGGAGAGGAUGGGGGAAUUCCCGGUGUAGCGGUGAAAUGCAUUGAUAUCGGGAGGAACACCAGUGGCGAAGGCGCCCAUCUGGCCUGUUACUGACGCUGAUGCGCGAAAGCCGGGGGAGCAAACAGGAUUAGAAACCCUGGUAGUCC